GGAGCGAAAGCGACGUUCAACCGCAAAAGAAGCAGAGGGGGCUUAGUGGUGGGGUGACUGCGUACCUUUUGUAUAAUGGGUCAGCGACUUAUAUUCUGUAGCAAGGUUAACCGAAUAGGGGAGCCGGAGGGAAACCGAGUCUUAACCGGGCGUUAAGUUGCAGGGUAUAGACCCGAAACCCGGUGAUCUAGCCAUGGGCAGGUUGAAGGUUGGGUAACACUAACUGGAGGACCGAACCGACUAAUGUUGAAAAAUUAGCGGAUGACCUGUGGCUGGGGGUGAAAGGCCAAUCAAACCGGGAGAUAGCUGGUUCUCCCCGAAAGCUAUUUAGGUAGCGCCUCGUGAAUUCAUCUCCGGGGGUAGAGCACUGUUUCGGCUAGGGGGCCAUCCCGGCUUACCAACCCGAUGCAAACUGCGAAUACCGGAGAAUGUUAUCACGGGAGACACACGGCGGGUGCUAACGUCCGUCGUGAAGAGGGAAACAACCCAGACCGCCAGCUAAGGUCCCAAAGUCAUGGUUAAGUGGGAAACGAUGUGGGAAGGCCCAGACAGCCAGGAUGUUGGCUUAGAAGCAGCCAUCAUUUAAAGAAAGCGUAAUAGCUCACUGGUCGAGUCGGCCUGCGCGGAAGAUGUAACGGGGCUAAACCAUGCACCGAAGCUGCGGCAGCGAACGUAUCACUUAAAGCGAUUCAGCGGGUUACGAUUGACGGAGCGAAGCGACGUCAAAGCGUAUACAAAGUCGAGUCGGUUUAAGGAUACGUUCGUUGGGUAGGGGAGCGUUCUGUAAGCCUGUGAAGGUGGCCUGUGAGGGUUGCUGGAGGUAUCAGAA
This 829-nucleotide ribosomal RNA is filed under the name Salmonella enterica subsp. enterica serovar Dublin. RNAcentral describes it as "partial 23S ribosomal RNA". It matches the Rfam family "Bacterial large subunit ribosomal RNA", at positions 535 to 1287 of the family's 2925-position model. The record is from RNAcentral. Lineage: Bacteria; Pseudomonadati; Pseudomonadota; Gammaproteobacteria; Enterobacterales; Enterobacteriaceae.